UCCCUGGUGGCUUAGAUGGUAAAGAGUCUGUCUGCAAUGCAGGAGACCUAGGUUUGAUCCCUGGGUCGGGAA
RNAcentral lists this transfer RNA (72 nucleotides) under Ovis aries (sheep). It matches the Rfam family "tRNA". From Rfam's summary of the family: Transfer RNA (tRNA) molecules are approximately 80 nucleotides in length. Their secondary structure includes four short double-helical elements and three loops (D, anti-codon, and T loops). Lineage: Eukaryota; Metazoa; Chordata; Mammalia; Artiodactyla; Bovidae. The record is from Rfam by way of RNAcentral.